CAGCAGCCACGGGAAUACGUAGGGUGCAAGCGUUGCUCGGAAUCACUGGGCGUAAGGGGUGCGUAGGCGGGUCUUUAAGUCAGGGGUGAAAUCCUGGAGCUCAACUCCAGAACUGCCUUUGAUACUGAAGAUCUUGAGUUCGGGAGAGGUGAGUGGAACUGCGAGUGUAGAGGUGAAAUUCGUAGAUAUUCGCAAGAACACCAGUGGCGAAGGCGGCUCACUGGCCCGAUACUGACGCUGAGGCACGAAAGCCAGGGGAGCGAACGGGAUUAGAGACCCCUGUAGUCCCUGUCUCUUAUAC
Molecule: ribosomal RNA, 301 nt
Filed under: uncultured bacterium
Lineage: Bacteria
Description: partial 16S ribosomal RNA
Rfam family: Bacterial small subunit ribosomal RNA
Source: RNAcentral